AAGUGGGGGACCUUCGGGCCUCACGCCAUCAGAUGUACCCAGAUGAGAUUAGCUAGUAGGUGGGGUAAUGGCUCACCUAGGCUAUGAUCUCUAGCUGGUCUGAGAGGAUGACCAGCCACACUGGAACUGAGACACGGUCUAGACUCCUACGGGAGGCAGCAGUGGGGAAUAUUGCACAAUGGGCGCAAGCCUGAUGCAGCCAUGCCGCGUGUAUGAAGAAAGCCUUCGGGUUGUAAAGUACUUUCAGCAAGAAAGAAAGUAUUUUAGUUAAUAACUAAAAUAAUUGACGUUACUUGCAAAAGAAGCACCGGCUAACUCCGUGCCAGCAGCCGCGGUAAUACGGAGGGUGCGAGCGUUAAUCGGAAUUACUGGGCUUAAAGCGUACGUAGGCGGUUAAUUAAGUUAGAUGUGAAAUCCCCGAGCUUAACUUGGGAAUUGCAUUUAAAACUGGUUAGCUAGAGUCUUGUAGAGGGGGGUAGAAUUCUAGGUGUAGCGGUGAAAUGCGUAGAUAUCUAGAGGAAUACCAGUGGCGAAGGCGGCCCCCUGGACAAAGACUGACGCUCAGGUACGAAAGCGUGGGGAGCAAACAGGAUUAGAUACCCUGGUAGUCCACGCCGUAAACGAUGUCGACUUGGAGGUUGUGCCCUUGAGGUGUGGCUUCCGGAGCUAACGCGUUAAGUCGACCGCCUGGGGAGUACGGCCGCAAGGCUAAAACUCAAAUGAAUUGACGGGGGCCCGCACAAGCGGUGGAGCAUGUGGUUUAAUUCGAUGCAACGCGAAAAACCUUACCUACUCUUGACAUUCAGAGAAUUUGCUAGAGAUAGCUUAGUGCCUUCGGGAGCUUUGAAACAGGUGCUGCAUGGCUGUCGUCAGCUCGUGUUGUGAAAUGUUGGGUUAAGUCCCGCAACGAGCGCAACCCUUGUCCUUUGUUGCCAGCACGUAAAGGUGGGAACUCAAAGGAGACUGCCGGUGAUAAGCUGGAGGAAGGUGGGGAUGACGUCAAGUCAUCAUGGCCCUUACGAGUAGGGCUACACACGUGCUACAAUGGCAUAUACAAAGAGCAGCAAACUCGCGAGAGCAAGCGAACCUCAUAAAGUAUGUCGUAGUCCGGAUUGGAGUCUGCAACUCGACUCCAUGAAGUCGGAAUCGCUAGU
RNAcentral lists this ribosomal RNA (1154 nucleotides) under Candidatus Profftia adelgis. RNAcentral describes it as "bacterial SSU rRNA". It matches the Rfam family "Bacterial small subunit ribosomal RNA", at positions 202 to 1339 of the family's 1533-position model. The record is from RNAcentral. Lineage: Bacteria; Pseudomonadati; Pseudomonadota; Gammaproteobacteria; Enterobacterales; Enterobacteriaceae.